UGUGGGUACAGAGUAUGCUUAGAUGAUGAAUCACGACGAUGAUGGUGAUGAUAACAACAAUAAUAAUAGAAAUCCUGGGACAUGAGGAGAUGUUUCAGCAGCCGUGAUGAUGCGGGUAUUUAUUCGCUGGCGCUGGUUGCUGGUUGCUGCUGAUGCAGGAAUGCCAGGGAUGGUUUUCAGGCAUGUUUUGAAGUAAACCAUGUCAAUAUAUGGAGAUGAAUAAUCUCAGUGAGAAGGAGGGAAAGAAGGAGAGGAAAAAAAGAAGGAUAAAGAAAAUCCAAAGAGGGGCAAAUCGGAGGAUGACUGCAAAAAAAAAAGGGAAAAAAA
Molecule: small RNA, 327 nt
Filed under: Histoplasma capsulatum var. duboisii H88
Lineage: Eukaryota; Fungi; Ascomycota; Eurotiomycetes; Onygenales; Ajellomycetaceae
Description: Histoplasma capsulatum H88 hypothetical RNA
Source: RNAcentral